This 435-nucleotide ribosomal RNA is filed under the name uncultured bacterium. RNAcentral's name for it is "bacterial SSU rRNA". It matches the Rfam family "Bacterial small subunit ribosomal RNA", at positions 29 to 507 of the family's 1533-position model. The record is from RNAcentral.
AGCGAACGCUGGCGGCAGGCUUAACACAUGCAAGUCGAACGGGCGUAGCAAUACGUCAGUGGCAGACGGGUGAGUAACGCGUGGGAACGUACCUUUUGGUUCGGAACAACACAGGGAAACUUGUGCUAAUACCGGAUAAGCCCUUACGGGGAAAGAUUUAUCGCCGAAAGAUCGGCCCGCGUCUGAUUAGCUAGUUGGUGGGGUAAUGGCCUACCAAGCCGACGAUCCAUAGCUGGUUUGAGAGGAUGAUCAGCAACACUGGGACUGAGACACGGCCCAAACUCCUACGGGAGGCAGCAGUGGGGAAUCUUGCGCAAUGGGCGAAAGCCUGACGCAGCCAUGCCGCGUGAAUGAUGAAGGUCUUAGGAUUGUAAAGUUCUUUAGCCUGUGACGAUGAUGACGGUAACAGGAGAAUAAGCCCCGGCUAACUUCGUG